GCCCCUAUAGCUCAGCUGGUAGAGCAACUGAUUUGUAAUCAGUAGGUCCGUGGUUCGAGUCCGCGUGGGGGCACCA
RNAcentral lists this transfer RNA (76 nucleotides) under Alphaproteobacteria bacterium. RNAcentral's name for it is "tRNA-Thr". It matches the Rfam family "tRNA". From Rfam's summary of the family: Transfer RNA (tRNA) molecules are approximately 80 nucleotides in length. Lineage: Bacteria; Pseudomonadati; Pseudomonadota; Alphaproteobacteria. The record is from RNAcentral. RNAcentral also lists the same sequence under 1 other name.